This 1372-nucleotide ribosomal RNA is filed under the name uncultured bacterium. RNAcentral's name for it is "bacterial SSU rRNA". It matches the Rfam family "Bacterial small subunit ribosomal RNA", at positions 28 to 1381 of the family's 1533-position model. The record is from RNAcentral.
GAUAAACGCUGGCGGCGUGCCUAAUACAUGCAAGUCGAGCGAACGGACGAGAAGCUUGCUUCUCUGAUGUUAGCGGCGGACGGGUGAGUAACACGUGGAUAACCUACCUAUAAGACUGGGAUAACUUCGGGAAACCGGAGCUAAUACCGGAUAAUAUUUUGAACCGCAUGGUUCAAAAGUGAAAGACGGUCUUGCUGUCACUUAUAGAUGGAUCCGCGCUGCAUUAGCUAGUUGGUAAGGUAACGGCUUACCAAGGCAACGAUGCAUAGCCGACCUGAGAGGGUGAUCGGCCACACUGGAACUGAGACACGGUCCAGACUCCUACGGGAGGCAGCAGUAGGGAAUCUUCCGCAAUGGGCGAAAGCCUGACGGAGCAACGCCGCGUGAGUGAUGAAGGUCUUCGGAUCGUAAAACUCUGUUAUUAGGGAAGAACAUAUGUGUAAGUAACUGUGCACAUCUUGACGGUACCUAAUCAGAAAGCCACGGCUAACUACGUGCCAGCAGCCGCGGUAAUACGUAGGUGGCAAGCGUUAUCCGGAAUUAUUGGGCGUAAAGCGCGCGUAGGCGGUUUUUUAAGUCUGAUGUGAAAGCCCACGGCUCAACCGUGGAGGGUCAUUGGAAACUGGAAAACUUGAGUGCAGAAGAGGAAAGUGGAAUUCCAUGUGUAGCGGUGAAAUGCGCAGAGAUAUGGAGGAACACCAGUGGCGAAGGCGACUUUCUGGUCUGUAACUGACGCUGAUGUGCGAAAGCGUGGGGAUCAAACAGGAUUAGAUACCCUGGUAGUCCACGCCGUAAACGAUGAGUGCUAAGUGUUAGGGGGUUUCCGCCCCUUAGUGCUGCAGCUAACGCAUUAAGCACUCCGCCUGGGGAGUACGACCGCAAGGUUGAAACUCAAAGGAAUUGACGGGGACCCGCACAAGCGGUGGAGCAUGUGGUUUAAUUCGAAGCAACGCGAAGAACCUUACCAAAUCUUGACAUCCUCUGACAACUCUAGAGAUAGAGCCUUCCCCUUCGGGGGACAAAGUGACAGGUGGUGCAUGGUUGUCGUCAGCUCGUGUCGUGAGAUGUUGGGUUAAGUCCCGCAACGAGCGCAACCCUUAAGCUUAGUUGCCAUCAUUAAGUUGGGCACUCUAAGUUGACUGCCGGUGACAAACCGGAGGAAGGUGGGGAUGACGUCAAAUCAUCAUGCCCCUUAUGAUUUGGGCUACACACGUGCUACAAUGGACAAUACAAAGGGCAGCGAAACCGCGAGGUCAAGCAAAUCCCAUAAAGUUGUUCUCAGUUCGGAUUGUAGUCUGCAACUCGACUACAUGAAGCUGGAAUCGCUAGUAAUCGUAGAUCAGCAUGCUACGGUGAAUACGUUCCCGGGUCU